Molecule: ribosomal RNA, 468 nt
Filed under: uncultured bacterium
Lineage: Bacteria
Description: partial 16S ribosomal RNA
Rfam family: Bacterial small subunit ribosomal RNA
Source: RNAcentral
GACGAACGCUGGCGGCGUGCUUAACACAUGCAAGUCGAACGGAAAGGCCCUGCUUUUGUGGGGUGCUCGAGUGGCGAACGGGUGAGUAACACGUGAGUAACCUGCCCUUGACUUUGGGAUAACUACAGGAAACUGGGGCUAAUACCGGAUAGGAGCUCCUGCUGCAUGGUGGGGGUUGGAAAGUUUCGGCGGUUGGGGAUGGACUCGCGGCUUAUCAGCUUGUUGGUGGGGUAGUGGCUUACCAAGGCUUUGACGGGUAGCCGGCCUGAGAGGGUGACCGGCCACAUUGGGACUGAGAUACGGCCCAGACUCCUACGGGAGGCAGCAGUGGGGAAUAUUGCACAAUGGGCGGAAGCCUGAUGCAGCAACGCCGCGUGCGGGAUGACGGCCUUCGGGUUGUAAACCGCUUUCGCCUGUGACGAAGCGUGAGUGACGGUAAUGGGUAGAGAAGCACCGGCUAACUACGUG